RNAcentral lists this long non-coding RNA (654 nucleotides) under Sinocyclocheilus anshuiensis. RNAcentral describes it as "lncRNA (ENSSANG00000045068.1)". Lineage: Eukaryota; Metazoa; Chordata; Actinopteri; Cypriniformes; Cyprinidae. The record is from RNAcentral.
AUGGAUAUACUGUACAUGACAUAUGUCCAAAAAUGUAUGGCACUUACACAAACAUGCAUAUUUGUUUGGGCUAGAUAUAUAUAUAUAUGUAAAUAUAUGAAGUUCCACUUUCUAAUAGGUUUCAUACACGUUUUUACCUCAUAUGAUUUUACCUCAAAUUAUUUUCACAUAUGGAAAUUUCAUAUAUGUAUAUAUAUUGUAUUACAUAUAUCAUCAUCAUCAAUCAUUCUGACUUUUACUUUCUUCUUCUUCUUCUUCUUCUUCUUCUUCUUCUUCUUCUUCUUCUUCUCAUCCUCACUGUCCGAUGAAGAGGACGAGCUGCAUGUCGUGGCCUCCUUCGCCCUCGUCAUCAGACACGUGACCGUCGUCCCUGGCAGCGGUCAAACCCGCAGACUCCACAGGAAGUGCUGCACAGGACAGGAAGUUGCUUUCAUGAGUCAUGUGACCACCAUUAGAGCUUUGAAAUAACAGUUGUCUGUUCGGAGGAAAAACAGGGUCCUCACACGCAGUGCACUUUUUAAUAAUAUUUUUAAUUCGUUUUUAUUUUUGUAUUUUCCAUUUUUAUUUUAGUUAAAAUUGUAUACAUUUUUUUUUUUAUUAGUAAUUGUUUAUUUUUUAGAUAUAUUUCUGAAUCAUUUUUAUUUUUUAUUUCAG